This 265-nucleotide ribosomal RNA is filed under the name uncultured bacterium. RNAcentral describes it as "partial 16S ribosomal RNA". It matches the Rfam family "Bacterial small subunit ribosomal RNA", at positions 8 to 267 of the family's 1533-position model. The record is from RNAcentral.
AGAGUUUGAUCAUGGCUCAGGAUGAACGCUAGCGACAGGCUUAACACAUGCAAGUCGAGGGGCAGCGGGGAGUAGCAAUACUUCGCCGGCGACCGGCGCACGGGUGAGUAACACGUGUGCAACCAACCCCGUACCGGGGAGAUAACCCGCGGAAACGUGGACUAACAUCCCAUAAGACUCUAGAGCCGCAUGGCUUUGGAUUUAAAAUUCCGGUAGUACGGGACGGGCACGCGCGACAUUAGGUAGUUGGCGGGGUAACGGUCCC